GAGAAACUUCAAAAUGACAAAGUUCCAGAUGCCAAUGAAGAAAAUUAUUGCAGGGCACCAUUUCUUAAAUAAUGGUGUACAGAAAAGGAAUGGUAUCACAAUUUGAGAUUGCACUAAAUAAUAAUAAACAAUAAUAAUCUAAUUAUCUGAAAAUGGCAAUGUACAGCAAUAGAACUUCAAAUUCCCCUUGGUGAAGUGCAAUGCAUCUCAGCUGUUUUGGGUAUCAGAUUAUUCAAAUCUAAUAUUUUUAACAGUAAAUUUGGUUCUAUUGGGGAAGAAGAAGAAGAAAGAAUUAUAUAAUCCUUAGAAGGCAGGUUCUGACACAAAGACUGGUUGCAGGAAACAAUUGAAUUCAAUCAUUUAAAGCAUGCACAACAACUGAUGCUUGAAGAUCUCGGUCCACCUUGAAGUGAGAAUGGAAAAACCUCCUUAUCUCUUUGAAAGAACGUGAAAUAAGGAAAUCCUUCAAGAGUCUCUCCUCAGAUUCAAAUAAUACAACAUGACUAGGCAGAGACCAGUUUUUGGCCAAUUCUGAUGCAAAACCAACA
RNAcentral lists this unclassified non-coding RNA (548 nucleotides) under Hevea brasiliensis (rubber tree). Lineage: Eukaryota; Viridiplantae; Streptophyta; Magnoliopsida; Malpighiales; Euphorbiaceae. The record is from RNAcentral.